Non-coding RNA from Schizosaccharomyces pombe (fission yeast), 765 nucleotides. The record is from the annotation of a GenBank genome assembly. NCBI's taxonomy places the organism in Eukaryota, Fungi, Ascomycota, Schizosaccharomycetes, Schizosaccharomycetales, Schizosaccharomycetaceae.
GGGACUGGUAGGUGAAGUAGACAAUACUUCGUGCGCAAAUGCUUGUGAAACUUUUUGAUUUAAGGAAUCCAAUUCUCUCUGCUCACGAAGGAUCCUUUGUCUUUCUUCUUCUUGACGUCUUGAAAUGAGCUUUGAUUUUGCUCUUCUGUUUUGAAACCAAAUAGUUACGCUACGUUCCGGAAUAUUCAACUCGCGUCCAAUUUUUUCCCUUAUAGCUGGAGGUGGAUUAGUAUCUUUGGAGAAUUCCCGAAGCAAAUAAGCAAGUUGAUCUGCAGUAAGGCGCUGUUUUUUGCUCUUUGGCGCAGAAGUAGAUCCGCCGCUCUCAGGAGUACCACUUUCGUGAGCGACAUUCUCCUUAGCUUUCUCAACAGAUGUAGCUUCAACAACUUCAUUUUGCUUUGAAUUAGCAGGUUCCGACUCAGAUUUAACAAUAUUAGGUUGAACUGGCGAUGGAUUCGUCAAUUUCGAACUAUUCACAUUAUCAAAUGAAUUAUUAUCUGCAAAACUCGGUGCAUCCGGUUUGGGUUUCUCCUGUUUCCAAUCUACUUUGUUUUCGUCAAAUUCAGGAGGAAAAUAAUUAGGAUUGGUAGGAUUUUGCUGUUCCCCUUGAAGAUGCUGCUCAUACGUUGAAUGGGGUAAUUGCAUGUUAUUAUCAGAUGGAAACUGACCGAGAAAAGAAUCCAUGUCAUAGUUGCUCAAGGACAAAUUCUCCGGGAGCAUUGUAGGUCGCUUCUCAGAAUAAUUAAUAUUGUCAUUAAUUUGACC